CCUACGGGAGGCAGCAGUGGGGAAUAUUGCACAAUGGGGGAAACCCUGAUGCAGCGACGCCGCGUGAGUGAAGAAGUAUUUCGGUAUGUAAAGCUCUAUCAGCAGGGAAGAAAAUGACGGUACCUGAUUAAGAAGCCCCGGCUAACUACGUGCCAGCAGCCGCGGUAAUACGUAGGGGGCAAGCGUUAUCCGGAUUUACGGGGUGUAAAGGGAGCGUAGACGGCAGCACAAGUCUGGAGUGAAAUGCCGGGGCUUAACCCCGGACCUGCUUUGGAAACUGUGCAGCUAGAGUGCAGGAGAGGUAAGUGGAAUUCCUAGUGUAGCGGUGAAAUGCGUAGAUAUUAGGAGGAACACCAGUGGCGAAGGCGGGUUACUGGACUGUAACUGACGUUGAGGCUCGAAAGCGUGGGGAGCAAACAGGAUUAGAUACCCUGGUAGUC
RNAcentral lists this ribosomal RNA (440 nucleotides) under uncultured bacterium. RNAcentral describes it as "partial 16S ribosomal RNA". It matches the Rfam family "Bacterial small subunit ribosomal RNA", at positions 338 to 795 of the family's 1533-position model. The record is from RNAcentral.